UUUCCGUAGGUGAACCUGCGGAAGGAUCAUUACCGAGUCGAGGUGGCCGGGCGUCCUCGGGCGCCCGGCCACGGACCUCACCACCCGUGUUUACCGUACCCUGUUGCUUCGGCGGGCCCGCCGCUAAGUCGGCCGCCGGGGGACCACUGGUUCCCGGGCCCGUGCCCGCCGAAGACCCCUCGAACACUGCCUGAAGGUUGCUGUCUGAGCGUUUAAUACAAACAAACAAAACUUUCAACAACGGAUCUCUUGGUUCCG
This 258-nucleotide unclassified non-coding RNA is filed under the name soil metagenome. RNAcentral describes it as "partial contains small subunit ribosomal RNA, internal transcribed spacer 1, and 5.8S ribosomal RNA". The record is from RNAcentral.